RNAcentral lists this ribosomal RNA (253 nucleotides) under uncultured bacterium. RNAcentral's name for it is "partial 16S ribosomal RNA". It matches the Rfam family "Bacterial small subunit ribosomal RNA", at positions 524 to 776 of the family's 1533-position model. The record is from RNAcentral.
UACGUAGGGUGCGAGCGUUAAUCGGAAUUACUGGGCGUAAAGCGUGCGCAGGCGGUUGUAUAAGUCAGAUGUGAAAUCCCCGGGCUCAACCUGGGAACUGCAUUUGAGACUGUACGGCUAGAGUUUGGCAGAGGGGGGUGGAAUUCCACGUGUAGCAGUGAAAUGCGUAGAGAUGUGGAGGAACACCGAUGGCGAAGGCAGCCCCCUGGGCCAAUACUGACGCUCAUGCACGAAAGCGUGGGGAGCAAACAGG